Ictalurus punctatus (channel catfish) is the source of this 340-nucleotide long non-coding RNA. The record is from Ensembl. Lineage: Eukaryota; Metazoa; Chordata; Actinopteri; Siluriformes; Ictaluridae.
ACCAGGUCCAACACCACGUCCACCACCAUAUUCACCACCACAUCCAGCACCAUGUCCAGCACCAUAUCCACCACCAGGUCCAAUACCAUAUCCACCACCAUGUCCACCACCACAUACACCACCAGGUCCAACACCACAUCCAACACCACAUCAAAGACCACAUACACCACCACAUCCAACACCAGGUCCAACACCACAUCCAACACUUCAUACACACCAGGUCCAAUACCACAUACACCACCAAGUCCAACACUACAUACACCACCAGUUCCAACACGACAUACACUACCACAUAUAACACCACAUACACCAACACAUCCAACACCUCAUACACCACCAG